AUAGUGAAAGACGGUUUUGCUGUCACUUAUAGAUGGACCCGCGGUGUAUUAGCUAGUUGGUGAGGUAACGGCUCACCAAGGCAACGAUACAUAGCCGACCUGAGAGGGUGAUCGGCCACACUGGGACUGAGACACGGUCCAGACUCCUACGGGAGGCAGCAGUAGGGAAUCUUCCGCAAUGGACGAAAGUCUGACGGAGCAACGCCGCGUGAGUGAAGAAGGUUUUCGGAUCGUAAAACUCUGUUGUAUAGGGAAGAACAA
This 261-nucleotide ribosomal RNA is filed under the name uncultured Macrococcus sp. RNAcentral describes it as "partial 16S ribosomal RNA". It matches the Rfam family "Bacterial small subunit ribosomal RNA", at positions 197 to 452 of the family's 1533-position model. The record is from RNAcentral. Lineage: Bacteria; Bacillati; Bacillota; Bacilli; Caryophanales; Staphylococcaceae.